This 382-nucleotide ribosomal RNA is filed under the name uncultured Elusimicrobiales bacterium. RNAcentral describes it as "partial 16S ribosomal RNA". It matches the Rfam family "Bacterial small subunit ribosomal RNA", at positions 338 to 734 of the family's 1533-position model. The record is from RNAcentral. Lineage: Bacteria; Pseudomonadati; Elusimicrobiota; Elusimicrobia; Elusimicrobiales.
CCUACGGGAGGCAGCAGUGGGGAAUUUUGGACAAUGGGCGAAAGCCUGAUCCAGCGACGCCGCGUUGAGGACGAAGGUCUUCGGAUUGUAAACUCCUUUUGCAGGGGACGAAAAAAAUGACGGUACUCUGCGAAUAAGCCACGGCUAACUACGUGCCAGCAGCCGCGGUAAUACGUAGGUGGCGAGCGUUACUCGGAAUCACUAGGCGUAAAGCGCGUGUAGGCGGUAUUUUAAGUCUGUUGUGAAAUCUUAUGGCUAAACCAAAAAAGGUCGUCAGAGACUGAAGGGCUAGAGGGAGGCAGGGGAAAGUGGAAUUCCAGGUGUAGGGGUGAAAUGCGUAGAUAUCGGGAGGAACGCCAAGGGCGAAGGCGGGUUCCUGGGC